GGACCAGCGACUGGCCAGCAUGCCAGGCGAUGGACUUGCUCAAAUGGCCUCUGCUCCUGCCACCCUGCCUUAGACCACUGCCACAUAAGCCAACACCUGACUUGCCCCAAAUCAUCUCUGCUUUUACGUGACUGAUCUUUGGAUCCAAGUGGACUUUUCUGUUUGAGGAAACAUUCCACUGGAUGUGCUUGAUACUCUGACUGCACAGUGACACCACCUGGGGAGACUCCACAGGGUAACACCGGAUGGCAGAGCUCCUGUGGCCCUUUGUUUUUCUGUCUGAGGAAUGGACAUAGAGUGGUUUCCUUUGGACAACGAUAAGAAGACAGAGAGUUAGGAGCGGGAGUGAAUGAAGAACUUUCCCCGAUUGCUGCUCCUCUCCACUUAUUGCAUCCUGUCGUCCACGGUUUCAGAUGACGUCCCGCGUGUCAGAGCCGCUGGAAGCAAUAAGCAGGGGAAUAACAACAGACGGGCCAGGCGAGAAAGAUUGAAAAAGGAGAAGCAGGCAGCAAAGAAAGUGGGAAAGUGCAUGUGAGAAAUAGAAAAAAGCAGAGGUGGAGGAAAAAGUGCCCUGGGUAUGGGGGACCCACCGGCAAGUCCUUAUAAAUCCGCUGUAACUGUCUGGACAGUUUCCAACAAACAGCCGGGCUGCAGAGCCUGCGACGCUGGAG
RNAcentral lists this long non-coding RNA (671 nucleotides) under Sus scrofa (pig). RNAcentral describes it as "lncRNA (ENSSSCG00025003535.1, ENSSSCG00035080147.1, ENSSSCG00055027952.1, ENSSSCG00065021743.1)". Lineage: Eukaryota; Metazoa; Chordata; Mammalia; Artiodactyla; Suidae. The record is from RNAcentral.